GGCAGCGUGGCAUAGUGGUUUGAGUGUUGGACUACGACUCUGGAGACCAGGGUUUGAUUCCCAUCUCAGUCA
This is a non-coding RNA of Phrynosoma platyrhinos (Desert horned lizard), 72 nucleotides long. The record is from the annotation of a GenBank genome assembly. Lineage: Eukaryota; Metazoa; Chordata; Lepidosauria; Squamata; Phrynosomatidae.